RNAcentral lists this ribosomal RNA (468 nucleotides) under uncultured bacterium. RNAcentral's name for it is "partial 16S ribosomal RNA". It matches the Rfam family "Bacterial small subunit ribosomal RNA", at positions 28 to 507 of the family's 1533-position model. The record is from RNAcentral.
GACGAACGCUGGCGGCGUGCUUAACACAUGCAAGUCGAACGGAAAGGCCCUGCUUUUGUGGGGUGCUCGAGUGGCGAGCGGGUGAGUAACACGUGAGUAACCUGCACUUGACUUUGGGAUAACUUCAGGAAACUGGGGCUAAUACCGGAUAGGAGCUCCUGCUGCAUGGUGGGGGUUGGAAAGUUUCGGCGGUUGGGGAUGGACUCGCGGCUUAUCAGCUUGUUGGUGGGGUAGUGGCUUACCAAGGCUUUGACGGGUAGCCGGCCUGAGAGGGUGACCGGCCACAUUGGGACUGAGAUACGGCCCAGACUCCUACGGGAGGCAGCAGUGGGGAAUAUUGCACAAUGGGCGGAAGCCUGAUGCAGCAACGCCGCGUGCGGGAUGACGGCCUUCGGGUUGUAAACCGCUUUCGCCUGUGACGAAGCGUGAGUGACGGUAAUGGGUAAAGAAGCACCGGCUAACUACGUG